CCUACGGGAGGCAGCAGUGAGGAAUAUUGGUCAAUGGACGAGAGUCUGAACCAGCCAAGUAGCGUGAAGGAUGACUGCCCUAUGGGUUGUAAACUUCUUUUAUAUGGGAAUAAAAUGUUCCACGUGUGUGAUUUUGUAUGUACCAUAUGAAUACGGAUCGGCUAACUCCGUGCCAGCACCCGCGGUAAUACGGAGGAUCCGAGCGUUAUCCGGAUUUAUUGGGUUUAAAGGGAGCGUAGGUGGAUUGUUAAGUCAGUUGUGAAAGUUUGCGGCUCAACCCGAGAAUUGCAGUUGAUACUGGCAGUCUUGAGUACAGUAGAGGUGGGCGGAAUUCGAGGUGUAGCGGUGAAAUGCUUAGAUAUAACGAAGAACUCCGAUUGCGAAGGCAGUUCACUGGACUGCAACUGACACUGAGGCUCGAAAGUGUGGGUAUCAAACAGGAUUAGAUACCCUUGUAGUC
Molecule: ribosomal RNA, 460 nt
Filed under: uncultured bacterium
Lineage: Bacteria
Description: partial 16S ribosomal RNA
Rfam family: Bacterial small subunit ribosomal RNA
Source: RNAcentral